This 475-nucleotide long non-coding RNA is filed under the name Lepidothrix coronata (blue-crowned manakin). RNAcentral's name for it is "lncRNA (ENSLCOG00000004993.1)". Lineage: Eukaryota; Metazoa; Chordata; Aves; Passeriformes; Pipridae. The record is from RNAcentral.
GGUCACUGCUCCGGGUGAUGUUUUGGGUCAGACCCUGCAAACUGCUUUCACAUCGAGAGCUCCCAGCCCGGCUCUCCCUGGACGGGCUCGCGUCUCCCCUCAAGCUUUCAGCCCCUGGGAGCCUGAGGGAGAGCUUGUUCCAGCAGACGGGCCCCAUCCGCUCCACCCGGCUCUUGCUGGAGCGAGGGCUGGAAAAGAGGGAUGGAGGCGAAGGGGUAUCUCCCACCCCUCCGGGGCCCCGCGUGCCGCCUGCGCGCCGCUUCCCAGCAAAUACGGGUGCUAGAACACUACCCCAGCCAUUGGAAGAUCAGAGGUUUGUGACAUGGAGGAGGAAACCUGGAGCCAGUAACACUGAGAUCAUCAGCUGGAUUGUGCCAGAUGUGACAGAGGAGGCUGGAAAACCUCAGGUAACCACUUGGACCACAGUCAACCAACUUCCUGUGGAAUCUGAUAAAGCCUGGUGGGGCUGGGAACU